RNAcentral lists this ribosomal RNA (397 nucleotides) under uncultured bacterium. RNAcentral's name for it is "partial 16S ribosomal RNA". It matches the Rfam family "Bacterial small subunit ribosomal RNA", at positions 523 to 918 of the family's 1533-position model. The record is from RNAcentral.
AUACGUAGGUGGCAAGCGUUGUCCGGAAUUAUUGGGCGUAAAGCGCGAGCAGGCGGUACUUUUAGUCUGAUGUGAAAGUCCACGGGUACACAGUGGAGGGGCAUUGGUAACUGGAGGGCUUGAGUGCAGAAGAGGAAAGGGGAAAUCCAAGUGUAACGGUGAAAUGCGUAGAGAUUUGGAGGAACACCAGUGGCGAAGGCGACUUUCUGGUCUGUAACUGACGCUGAGGCGCGAAAGCGUGGGGAGCAAACAGGAUUAGAUACCCUGGUAGUCCACGCCGUAAACGAUGAGUGCUAAGUGUUAGGGGGUUUCCGCCCCUUAGUGCUGCAGCUAACGCAUUAAGCACUCCGCCUGGGGAGUACGGUCGCAAGACUGAAACUCAAAGGAAUUGGCGGGG